This 151-nucleotide long non-coding RNA is filed under the name Mustela putorius furo (domestic ferret). RNAcentral describes it as "lncRNA (ENSMPUG00000029742.1)". The record is from RNAcentral. Lineage: Eukaryota; Metazoa; Chordata; Mammalia; Carnivora; Mustelidae.
UCUGUACCUAUCAGAAAAUAUGCUGCUCCCCCAUUUCUCCUUCCCUCCAGCCCCUGGAAACCACCAUUCGACCUUCUAUGGAUUGGACAACUCUAGGAACCUCUUGUAAAGAAAACAAACAACAAAUAGCCUUAAGGAAGAACUGAGUCCG